This 84-nucleotide transfer RNA is filed under the name Saprospiraceae bacterium. Its description in RNAcentral is "tRNA-Leu". It matches the Rfam family "tRNA". Rfam says of the family: Transfer RNA (tRNA) molecules are approximately 80 nucleotides in length. Their secondary structure includes four short double-helical elements and three loops (D, anti-codon, and T loops). Lineage: Bacteria; Pseudomonadati; Bacteroidota; Saprospiria; Saprospirales; Saprospiraceae. The record is from RNAcentral.
GCCUCGGUGGCGGAAUUGGUAGACGCGCUGGAUUCAAAAUCCAGUGAUAGCAAUAUCGUGGGGGUUCGAUUCCCCCCCGGGGUA